GUCAGCUCGUGUCGUGAGAUGUGGGUUAAGUCCGCAACGAGCGCAACCCCUAUUGUUAGUUGCCAUCAUUCAGUUGGGCACUCUAGCGAGACUGCCGGUAAUAAACCGGAGGAAGGUGGGGAUGACGUCAAAUCAUCAUGCCCCUUAUGACCUGGGCUACACACGUGCUACAAUGGUUGGUACAACGAGUUGCGAGUCGGUGACGGCGAGCUAAUCUCUUAAAGCCAAUCUCAGUUCGGAUUGUAGGCUGCAACUCGCCUACAUGAAGUCGGAAUCGCUAGUAAUCGCGGAUCAGCACGCCGCGGUGAAUACGUUCCCGGGCCUU
This 325-nucleotide ribosomal RNA is filed under the name uncultured Streptococcus sp. RNAcentral's name for it is "bacterial SSU rRNA". It matches the Rfam family "Bacterial small subunit ribosomal RNA", at positions 1054 to 1382 of the family's 1533-position model. The record is from RNAcentral. Lineage: Bacteria; Bacillati; Bacillota; Bacilli; Lactobacillales; Streptococcaceae.